CUCAUGCGUGCGCAGUCCCCCCCACCCUCCCCUGCGUUGGUUUGAUUCCUGUUGCGGGUACUUGCAUCAGGCGGAGGUCAACUGUCAGUCACCUUUCAGAUGUCUGUGCAUGCUCCAGGAACCAGAUCCAGUAGGUCCUUCUGAAAAGCAUCUUACAAGGGAGUACAUUGUUUGUUCUUUCCAGAAUGCCGGUUUUGUGUCAUUAGCCAACCAAAAAAUUUUUGUAAGUAAGUUGCAAGUUGCUGGUGUUGCAGGGCUCCUUGCCUAGGGGCUCAGUCCCUUUUCCUUCCCUAUCUCAGAUUCUGCUGCCUGCAUUUAUCUCUGGGAGCAGGCAUGGUCCCUCCCUGGAACACGGAUCUCAACCACCACCAUGGCUGGAGGCUUCCUUGAUGACUAGAAUGUGUUUCUGUACAAAUGAGGGCUAAGGGGUGGAGCUGAAUGGAAUGGGUGGUGAUGGAAAAACACUAAAUAGACAAAUGGUAACUUUGGUGAAGGGUAAGACAAUACACAAUACUGGAGAAGCCUGCAUAACUUGUACAAGGCAAGGUCAAGGAAGCUCCAUAGACACAUCCAAACUCCCUGAGGGACCGACCAAAUUGCUGGGCUGAGGGCUGUGGGGACCAGGAUCUCAGGGAGCAUCUAGCCCAAUUGGUGUAACAUAGUUUAUAAAGGAAAAGUUCUACUUUCUACAUUGGUGAGUAGCGUCUGGGAUCUUAAAAGUCUGGAAGUGGCCAUCUAAGAUACUCUAUGGGCCUUACCCCUUCAGGAGCAAGGGAGAAUGAAGAAAACCAAAGAUACAAGGGAAAGAUGAGUCCAAAGGACUAACGGACCACAGCUACCACAGCCACCACCAGACUGAGCCCAGUACAACGAGAUGGUGCCUGGCUACCACCACUGACUGCUCUGACAGGGAUUGCAAUAGGGGUUCCUGGACAGAACUGGAGAAAAAUGUAGAACAAAAUUCUAACUCACAAAAAAGGCCAGACUUACUGGCCUGACAGAGACUGCAGAAACCCAGGGAGUAUGGUGUCCGGACACCCUUCAUCCAAAGGUAGACACAUAAACUAAAAUGAGACUAAAUGGGAACACCAGCCCAGGGGCAAGGACUGGAAGGCAGGAGGGGACAGGAAAGCUGGUAAUACAGAACCCAAGGUCGAGAAGGGAGAGUGUUGGCAUGUUGUGGGGUUGUUAACCAAUGUCGUAAAAUAGUAUGUGUACUAGCUGUUUAAUGAAAAGCUAGUUUGUUCUGUAAACCUUUAUCUAAAGCACAACUUAAAAAAAGGAAAUGAGAGCUAACCUGAGCUGAAUUGCUAUCUCUGUAAAAUAAAAACCAGAUGACGUAAAAGGUCAGACACUAAUUCACCAUCAUCUGCACUGAAAUUUGUGUGGGGAAUGGGUUCAUGGCAAUGGGUUUUUAUUUUUAUUUUGAGGGAGUUAUGAUCAUCAACUGACAGAUGUAAAAUUUAAAUUCAGGCUGUAGCCUCCUUGCUCAAAUCGGUUUUACGAUGUGCUACAUUUCAUGAAAAUACGCCUGGGCACCAAGGAUCAGGUUCCUGAUGGACACAAUGGUCACCGUGGGCAAAUGAGUUCUCUGAAGAGAGAUUACCACGAAUGGAAAUAUUUAUACUAAGACUGUUCAUGGUGAGAGUGACUCAAAUACAGCCCCCACUGUGGGAAUAAAGGGAAGCAACUGCUCAUCAGUUUUUGUUUCUUUGUUUCAUCACCUAAUGAGCCUAAGGAAAGGCACAAAGUGCUUUAUCAGUAGCAAGAACUUCACCCCUUCUGGAUCCAAUAAAAUGCUGGGAAGUCAUCAGUCAGGAGAAUCAGGGUGACCCAUCAUGGACAAAUUCCAGCAGAGAAGAGAUGGCAAGGAUUAGCUAAUUCAGCUAUUGGGUGACUGCAACAUACCAAAGAAGCCCUGGUGGCGUGGUGGUUAAGUACUUGGGUGUUAACUGAAAGGUUGGGAGUUCAAACCCACCAGCUACUCUGCAGAGAAAGAUGUAGCAGUCUGCUUCCAUAAAGAUUACAGCCUUGAAAUCCCUAUGAGGCACUUUUACUCUUUCUAUAGGGUUGCUGUGAGUCAGAAUUGACUCCACAGCAAUGGGUACCACAUACCAGGCAAUGGUUUCCCAUUUGGAAUACAGCAUUGUUAAAACAGAAAAAUAUCCCUGCCCUUAUGGAACAUAUAUUGUAGCAGCUGGAUUAAAAAUAAAAAACAGUUGCAGCCAAGUUGAUUAUAACUCAUGGCUACUCAUGUGUGUCACAGUAGAACUGCACUCCAUAGGGUUUUCGUUGGCUGUGAUCUUUUGGAAGUAGAUCCUAGGCCUUCCAAGGUGCCUCUGGGUGGAUUUAAACUGCCAUCUUUUCAGUUAGUAGUCAGGUGCUUAACCUUUUGCACCACCCAGGGAUAUGGGCAUUAAAUAAUGAACAAGCAAAUCAGUAAAUUCUAUAGUAUGUUAGAAAGUGUAAGUGUUAUGGCAGAUAAAGUAAACAAAGGUGAUAGAAAUUUAGAGUCUAUUGCGGGAGAAAACCGCAGGUUAUGAUUUUAAAUAGAAACUUAAGGGUAGGCCUCAUUGAGAAGGUGACAUUUUAGCAAAUAUCUGAAGUAAGGGAAUCAACGAUGUGUAUAUCUGGGGUGUAAGUGAGUUCCAGUCAGAGGGAACAGACAGCACAAAGGCUCUAAGGUGGGAAUGUGAUUGGAGGAACGUAUGGGGGCAAGUGGGAUUGAAGCCAAGUGAGUCAGGGAAGAGUAACAGGAGAGAUGAAGAAGUGAAUUGGAAAGAUAGGGGCAGAUCAUAUAGGCCUUGUUGGCCACUGUAAGGCCUUUGGCUUUACUGUGAGGGGAAUGGUGAGCUGCUGGAGGGUUCUGAGCAGAAUGACAUGAUUUCGACCUACAUUACAGAAGUACCUCUCUGGCUGCUGGGUUGAAGCAUACAUCUGACUCAAGCCAAAUGCCUCUUUCAGAUGCUCUUACAUUUCACAUCCAGAUAAAGAAUUGCGCAGAUGAGUUAUAGGGAUGUGGCACAGGGCAGCAAAGGAAGUGAAGGUAAGUCAGAGAGUCAGCUUUGGUGACAUCUGCUUUGAACAACCCUGCCCUGAUGAAAUUCCAGGAACAUUUCUCAAUAUGAAAUAAACAUCUUUGCAGUAACUGUCCAUUUUUGUGCCUUAGUGUCUAUGCUUGGUGCAACUCCAAAGAAGCUAAACAGGCCCCACUUGGUAUAGUGGGGGCUGUUCCAGUGGGCAACACAGAGCCAGAAGUCUGUUCACCUUUUUUGACUCUCUAGCCGCUUUUUUUGUUAGAUAAGUAAGAAAUUGCCUUCAAACAAGAAAAGUAUGUCUGAAAGCGUUCUUCACAACGUCAGCUUGAUUAAGGAACUGGUUUAGAAGACUUUUGUUAAAAUCAUGUAAAUCAUCAUUCAUUCUAUGAAUAUUUACCAAGCACUUUUCACAUGCUAGGGACUUUUCUAGAUGCUGGGGAUUUGAACACUAACACACGCUCUUGUUUUAUCUUGCUUAUUCUCUAGAGUAUGAUAAAUGCUUUGUGAUAUAUACGCAUCAAAGGCUGUCGGAGCUCUGAGGAAAAAGUAAAUAACACUGCCUGGGGAGUAGUGGAGACUUCAAGAACAUAAAGACCCUCCAGCUGCACUUUGAAGAAAAGAAAAAUGAGUCACUGAAGGAGAAAGAGGUUAAAGCAUAUGCUUAUGUGGAAGUAAAUUAUGUUAAAUGCAGACGCGUAAAUUUAUAUAUUCAUGUGUUCAGAACAUAAGUGUGCCUAAGGACACUGGGAUCUUCAAUAAGAUAAUCCGAGCAGUUUGUUCCUUGACCUUCAACAACCCCCACCUGGUAAAUGGCAGGAAUUUAGGCUUUCCCCACUGUAUGAGUCGGAAUCCACUUGAAGCAGUGGGUUUGGUUUUUUUUUGUUAUCUCUUAGGCUUUCCCAAAGGGGCAGGGCCAAGUUACACAGUAUCAGAACCUGCCCUCUGCUCUGGAGGACAUCAGAUUGGAUUGCUGGGCUUCUGGGGCUUCUGCUCUGCAGUUCUGUUCUAUGGUCAUCUUGAGUCUGUCAGCUGUCACUGUCUCCUCUGCACAUCUACAGUCCUGGGUCAGCUAACUCUUCCGACAUUCUACCUGGACUGCCUUUGUUGUGGUGCUGGCUUGCUGUCAGCCUCUGAUGCUGGCUAGGAUUUGGGUACCUGCUUUCCCCAUUGCUGCCACCUGGAGCUAUUCAGCACUGAAUCAACUCUUUGUUUAUAAGGAAACUCUUUUGUAAUGAGUUCUUUUGGAAAGAAGGUUGCUUAGGCCCUGGUGGCACAGCACUUUAAUGUUUCCCAGAGCCCAUACUUCCCCUGGGCAAUAGAUGCUUAUUAAAGUGUUGGAGGUUGCUGGGUGAUGGUAAGUUCAAGGGCAGACUCACAUGGCAUAUGACCCACUGUAGCUGCCACUGCCACUGCCACUGCCACUCAGGAAUCACUGCAGACUCCAACACAGAAUGCCUAGUUUCUUCAUCACUUACAGGGACCUACUUUCUCUAUACUUGUCUCCUGCACAAUUGAGUAUGUAUGGAUAUAUCCCAAUCCCAAGCAUAAACCCCAAUAAAGUUAUCUCCCAUAGGCCCCUGAGCUACACCUGAAGCUGAGAAUGUAGUUAGGCCUGUGUUGAGUAUCAUCAUCCAUUCAAUGUUAGUGAAAGGUCGCUUUGUCAAGGAAGUCUCCUCUAACUUGACAUUUUUGUCCACUACCUUUGGCCAGUUACUUAAUCCCUAUGUGUCUCAUUUUUCUCAUCUGGUGAAGAUGAUAUGGGAGGUAUGUACGUGUGUAUAUAUGUCUGUCACUUUGUCAUGCUAUGGGCACUUGCAUGUUGCUGUGAUGCUGGAAGCUAUUCCACUGGUAUUCAGAUACCAGCAGGGUCGCCCAUGGUAGACAGGUUUCAUCUGAGCUUCCAGUCUAAGACAGACUAGGAAGAAGGACCCAGCAGUCAACUUCUGAAAAUUAUUAGCCACUGAAAACCUUAUGAAUAGCAGUGGAACAUUGUCUAAUAUCUUGCCAGAAGAUGAGCCCCCAGGUUGGAAGGCACUCAAAAGAUGACUGGGGAAGAGCUGCCUCCUCAAAGUAGAGUCGACCUUAAUGAUGUGGAUGGAGUCAAGCUUUUGGGACCUUCAUUUGCUGAUGUGGCACUACUCAAAAUGAGAAAAAACAGCUGCAAACAUCCAUUAAUAAUUGGAACAUGGAAUGUAGAAAGUAUGAAUCCAGGAAAAUUGAAAAUUGUCAAAAAUGAUAUAGAAUGCAUAAAGAUCAAUAUCCUAGGCAUUAGUGAGCUGAAAUGGACUGGUAUAGGCCAUUUUGAAUGGACAAUCAUAUGGUCUACUAUGUCAAGAAUGACAAAUUGAAGAGAAAUGGUGUUGCAUUCAUUGUCAAAAAAGAACAUUUCAAGAUCUAUCCUGAAGUGCAAUGCUGUCAAUGGUAGGGUAAUAUCCAUAAGCCUACAAGGAAGACCAGUUGAUAUGACUACUAUUCAAAUUUACACACCAGCCACUAAGGCCAAAGAUGAAGAAAUUGAAGAUUUUUAAUAACUUCUACUGUCUGAAAUUGAUUGAACAUGCAAUCAGGAUGCAUUGAUAAUUACUGGUGAUUGGAAUGUGAAAGAUGGAAAAAAAGAAGUAUUGGUAGUUGGAAAAUAUGGCCUUGGUGAUAGAAAUGAUACCAGAGAUCUCAUGAUAGAAUUUUGCAAGACCAACAAUUUCUUCAUUGCAAAUACCUUUAUUCACCAACAUAAACCGUGACUGUACACAUGAACCGAACCAGAUGGAGUACACAGGAAUGAAACCAACUACAUCUGUGGAAAGAGACAACAGAAAAGCUCAAUAUCAUCAGUUAGAACAAGGCGAGGGGCUGACUGUGCAACAGACUGCCAAUUGCUCACAUGUGAGUUCAAGUUGAAACUGAAGAAAAUUAGAGCAAGUCCAUGAAAGCCAAAGUAUGAUCUUGAGUAUCUUCCACCUGAAUUUAGAGAGCACCUCAAGAAUAGAUUUCAGAGGAGGCGGAGCCAAGAUGGCGGAAUAGACAGACGCUUCUGGCGAGCCCUCUUUACAACACAGACCCAAAAAAACAAGUGAAAUGAGUAUAUUCCUGACAAGCUGGGAGCCUGAGCUUCAAAGGCAAGCUUAGAAAAAGAACUGAGGGGAAGGGGAGGAAGAGACCAUUCAGAAGUGGAGAGGAGUUACCGGACCUGAAUCGCAGGGAACUCUCAGGCAAAAUUCCUGGAGCAGUGGUGGCGGUGGGCUGGUACUAGCGUUCAGCUGCAGUUUCCUCAGGGAGAAGCAGCCAGCCACACAGCCUACUCACACCUCUGGAACCCGAGGAGAACAGUGCUCUAGGAAAAGCUAAGUACUUGCGUAUAUUUUAACGUGUCCCCCCACUUGCGAACUGGCUUCAGCAGCUGAAUUUCCUGGGCCUGACAUAGGCACUGUUGAGUACCUAGAGCCAUCCUCCCUGCCUUGGGGAAGGAAAAAAUUUGCUUUUGGGGGAAAAGAUAAUUUGCUAGCUCCACUAACUGGGGGAGCUCAGGACAGAAGCAGCUCCUGUCCAGGCAUAAACUGUCCUUGGACUUUGAGCACCUUUCCCUUCUGCAUGGACCUGUGUGGGCCUAUUUCGGGAGAAUAGGCUCUUGUUGGCAAACUCCAACCAUUUCAGCUGUGUGGUGGAGAGGUGGGUGUUUGACGUUUGACAUUGCUUUGCCUAUUAAACAAGGUCCCCACCUAACCACAUCAGGGACCUAAGGACUGGUAGCUCCACUCAGGCCACCCAGCCACCCAUGACAGGGGUCCAAAGAUAACUGGUACCUCCCAGUCCUUACAAUCAAAAACUUUGGGUGCCCAUGAUCCAUCUGCAGAGCCCACCCAUCUGCAUGCUCUAGGGAACAGGGACGUGCUUUCCACAGAGACACUUGUGGGUCGGUUCUCAGGCCCCUGCCUUGUUCAGAGCGUGUCCCUCUGCAGCAAUCAGAUACUGGUAUAUAUACCAAUCACCCCUGCCCCUCUAAGACUGUAGGACAGAGCCUGUACCACACACUUGAUAAUCAGCUACCUGGAAACCUGAGCUGAAUUCAUACAAGAAAAGUGAAUGGGCUCCUAGACUGAUAUACCUGAUAAAACCUCUAGCAAGCUGGGGAUAGGACAUCAGAGCUCCAAAGGGGAAAAUAAUCAAGCUAGCUCAUUCAAGCAACCCAUAGGAGUAUACCAAAACAAAACCAAAGCAAGAAGCUACAACACAGUAGGCAAGCAUAAACUAAUACAAUAACUUAUAGAUGGCUUGGAGACACCAGUCAAUAUCAAGUCACGUAAAGAAACAGACCAUAAUCACCUCAACAGGCUCUCGAAACAGAGAAUCCAGGGAUCUUCUAGAUGAAAGUGCAUUCCUGGGAUUAACAGAGCAGAAUACAAAAGUUUAAUACACAGAACCCUUCAAGACAUCAGGAAGGAAAUGAGGCAAUAUACAAAACAAGCCAAGGAAUACACAGAUAAAGAAAUUGAAGAGAUUAGAAAGAUUAUUCAGGAACAUAAUGAAAAGUUUAAUAAGCUGGAAAAAUCCAUAGACAGACAGCAAUCAGAAGUUCAGAAGAUUAACAAUAAAAUUACAGAAUUAGACAAAUCAAUAGGAAGUCAGAGGAGCAGAAUUGAGUAAGAAGAAGCUAGAAUUUCUGGACUCGAAGAUAAAUCACUUGGCACUAAUAUAUAUGAAGAAAAACCAGAUAAAAGAAUUGAAAAAAAUGAAGAAACCUAAAGAAUCAUGUGGGACUCUAUCAAGAGAAAUAACCUACGAGUGAUUGGAGUAUCAGAACAGGGAGGGAUAACAGAAAAUACAGAGAAAAUUGUUGAAGAUGUAUUGGCAGAAAAUUUUCCUGAUAUGGUGAAAGAUGAGAAGAUAUCUAUCCAAGACGCUCGUCGAACUGCACAUAAGGUAGAUGUUAAAAGAAAGGCACCAAGACGUAUUACAAUCUAACUUGCCAAAACCAAAGAUAAAGAGAGAAUUAUAAGAGCAGAGAGGGAUAAAUGCAACGUCAACUAAAAAGGAGAGCCAAUGAGAAUAAGCUCGGACUACUCGGCAGAAACCAUGUAGGCAAGAAGGCAAUGGGAUAACAUAUUUAAAGAAUUGAAGGAAAAAAAAUGCCUGCUAAGAAUCAUAUAUCCAGCAAAACUGUCUCUUAAAUAUGAAGGUGAAAUUAAGACAUUUCCAGAUAAGCAGAAGUUUAGGGAAUUCGUAAAAACCAAACCAAAACUACAAGAAAUACUAAAGGAAGUUCUUUGGUUAGAAAAUCAAUAAUAUCAGGUAUCAACACAAGACUAGAACAUUGGGCAGGGAACCAGAAGUCAACCCAGACAGGGAAGUCCAAAAAAACAAAGCAAGAUUAUAUAUAUAUAAUAAAAAAGCUCAAAACAGGGUAACAGUGAUGUUAUUAUAUAAAAGAAGACAACAUUAAAAUAAUAAAGAGGGACUAAGAAAUGUAAUCAUACACCUUCCAUAUGGAGAGGAAAAUACGGCGAUACAAAGAAAUAAAAGUUAGUUUUAAAUUUAGAAAAAUAGUGGUAAAUAAUAAGAUUACCGAAAGGAGACGAACUAUCCUACCCAUCAAAAUAAAAUACAAGAAAAAAAUAGAGACUCAGCAGAAACAAAAUCAACAACAACAAAUAUGAGGAAAGGACAAUGUAUAAAGAAAAUCUACUCAGCACAUAAAAUUAAGUGGGAAAAAGAAACUGUCAACAACACACAAAAAAGGACAUCCAAAUGAUAGCACUAAAUUCAUACCUAUCCAUAAUUACCCUGAAUGUAAAUGGACUAAAUGCACCAAUAAAGAGACAGAGAGUGGCAGAAUGGAUUAAAAGCCAAGAUCAGUCUAUAUGCUGCCACCAAGAGAUACACCUUGGACUUAGAGACACAAACAAACUAAAACCUAAAGGAUGGAAAAAAAUAGAUCAAGCAAACAACAAUCAAAAAAGAGCAGGAGUGGCAAUAUUAAUUUCUGACAAAAUAGACUUUAAAGUUAAAUCCAUCAGAAACGAUAAGGAAGGACACCAUAUAAUGAUUAAAGGGACAAUACACCAAGAAGAUAUAACCAUAUUAGAUAUUUAUGCACCCAAUGACAGGGCUGCAAGAUACAUAAAACAAACUCUAUCAGCAUUGAAAAGUGAGAUAGACAGCUCCGCAAUAAUAGUAGGAGACUUUUCAACACACCACUUUCGGUGAAGGACUGGACAUCCAGAAAGAAGCUCAAUAAAGACACGGAAGAUCUAAAUGCCACAAUCUACCAACUUGACCUUGUAGACAUAUACAGAACACUCCACCCAACAGCAACCAAGUAUACUUUCUUUUCUAGUGCACAUGGAACAUUCUCUAGAAUAGACCACAUAUUAGGUCAUAAAGCAAGCCUUAGCAGAAACCAAAACAUUGAAAUAUUACAAAGCAUCUUCUCUGACCGCAAGGCCAUAAAAGUGGAAAUCAAUAACAGGAAAAGCAGGGAAAAGAAAUCAAACACUUGGAAACUGAACAAUACCCUGUGCUCAAAAAAGAUUGGAUUACAUCCAUAAAUGCAUACAUCCAAUAAGAAGAAAGGGCCAAAAUCAAAGAAGUGUCCCUACAACUUGAACAAAUAGAAAGAGAGCAACAAAAGAAACCCACAGGCACCAGAAGAAAACAAAUAAUAAAAAUUAGAGCUGAACUCAAUGAAAUAGAAAACAGAAAAACAAUUGAAAGAAUCAACAAGACCAAAAGCUGGCUCUUUGAAAAAAUCAACAACAUUGAUAAACCACUGGCCAAACUGACAAAAGAAAAACAGGAGAGGAAGCAAAUAGCCCGAAUAAGAAAUUAGAUGGACGGUAUUACAACAGACCCAACUGAAAUUAACAGAAUCAUAUCAGAUUACUAUGAAAAAUUGUACUCAAACAAAUUUGAAAACCUAGAAGAAAUGGAUGAAUUCCUAGAAACACACUACCUACCUAAACUAACACAAACAGAGGCAGAACAACUAAAUAGACCCACAACAAAAGAAGAGAUUGAAAAGGUAGUUAAAAAACUCCCAACAAAAAAAGAGCCCUGGUUCAUGCGGCUUCACUGCAGAGUUCUACCAAACUUUCAGAGAAGGGUUAACAUCACUACUACUAAAAGUAUUUCAGAGCAUAGAAAAGGACAGAAUACUGCCAAACUCAUUCUAUGAAGCCACCAUAUCCCUGAUACCAAAACCAGGUAAAGACACCACAAAUAAAGAAAAUUAUAGACCCCUCAUGAACGUAGAUGCAAAAAUCCUCAACAAAAUUCUAGCCAAUAGAAUUCAACAACGUAUCAAAAAAAUAAUUCGCCAUGACCAAGUGGGAUUCAAACCAGGUAUGCAGGGAUGGUUCAACAUUAGAAAAACAAUUAAUGUAAUCCACCACAUAAAUAAAACAAAAGAUAAGAAUCACGUGAUCUUACCGAUUGAUGCAGAAAAGGCAUUUGACAAAGUUCAACACGUGUUCAUGAUAUAAACUCUCAGCAAAAUAGGAAUAGAAGGAAAAUUCCUCAACAUAAUAAAGGGCAUUUAUGUAAAGCCAACAGCCAACAUCAUCCUAAAUGGAGAGAACCUGAAAGCAUUCCCACUGAGAUCGGGAACCAGUCAAGUAUGCCCUUUAUCACCACUCUUAUUCAACAUUCUGCUGGAGGUCCUAGCCAGAGCAAUUAGGCUAGAUAAAGAAAUAAAAGGGCAUCCAGAUUGGCAAAGAAGAAGUAAAAGUAUCUCUAUUUGCAGAUGACAUGAUCUUUUACACAGAAAACCCUAAGGAAUCCUCCAGAAAAAUACUGAAACUAAUAGAAGAGUUUAGCAGAGUAUCGGGAUACAAGAUAAACAUACACAAAUCAGUUGGAUUCCUCUACACCAACAAAAAGAACAUCGAAGAGGAAAUUUCCAAAUGAAUGCCAUUUACAGUAGCCCCCAAGAAGAUAAAAUACUUAGGAAUAAAUCUUAGCAGAAAUGUAAAAGACUUAUACAAAGAAAACUGCAAUACACUUCUGCAAGAAAGCAAAAGAGACCUACAUAAGUGGAAAAACAUUCCUUGCUCAUGGAUGGGAAGACUUAACAUUAUAAAAAUGUCUCUUCUACCAAAAGCGAUCUAUACAUUUAAUGCAAUUCCGAUCCAAGUCCCAAGGACAUUCUUUAAUGAGAUGGAGAAAUAAAUGACCAACUUCAUAUGGAAGGGAAAGAGGCCCCGGAUAAGUAAAGUAUUAGUGAAAAAGGAGAGCAAAGUGGAAGGCCUUACUUUACCCGAUUUUAGAACGUAUUAUACUGCCACAGUAGUCAAAACAGCCUGAUACUGGUACAACAACAGUUACAUAGACCAAUGGAACAGAAUUGAGAAUCCAGACAUAAAUCCAUCCACAUAUGAGCAUUUGAUAUUUGACAAAGGCCCCAAAACAGUUAAAUGGGGAAAAGACAGUCUUUUUAAUAAAUGGUGCUGGCAUAACUGGAAAUCCAUCUGCAAAAAAUGAAACAAUACCCAUACCUUACUCCAUGCACAAAAACGAGCUCAUAAUGGAUCAAAGAGCUAAAUAUAAAAUCUAAAACGAUAAAGAUCAUGGAAGAAAAAAUAGAGACAAUGUUAGGAGCCCUAACACACGGCAUAAACAGUAUACAAAACAUUACUAACGAUGCAGAAGACAAACCAGAUAACUGGGAGCUCCUAAAAAUCAAACACCUAUGCUCAUCCAAAGACUUCACCAAAAGAGUCACAAGUUUACGUACAGACUGGGAAAAAGUUUUUAGCUAUGACAUUUCCAAUCAGAACCUGAUCUCUAAAAUCUACAUGAUACUGCAAAAACUCAACUGCAAAAAGACAAAUAACCGAAUUAAAAAAUGGGCAAGAGGUAUGAACAGACACUUCACUAAAGAAGACAUUCAGGUAGCUAAGGAAUACAUGAGGAAAUAUUCACGAUCAUUAGCCAUUAGAGAAAUGCAAAUCAGAACUACAAUAAGAUUUCAUCUCACUCCAACAAGGCUGGCAUUAAUCCAAAAAAACAUAAAACAAUAAAUGUUGCAGUGGCUGUGGAGAGAUUGGAACACUUAUACACUGCUGGUGGGAAUGUAAAAUGUACAAGCACUUUGGAAAUCGAUUUGGCACUUCCUUAAAAAGCUAGAAACAGAACUACCACAUGAUCCAGCAAUCCCAUUCCUUGGAAUAUAUCCUAGAGAAAUAAGAGCCUUUACAUGAACAGAUAUAUGCACACCCAUGUUCAUUGUAGCACUGUUUACAAUAGCAAAAAGAUGGAAGCAACCAAGGUGCCCAUCACUGGAUGAAUGGAUAAAUAAUGGUAUAUUCACACAAUGGAAUACUACACAUUGGUGAAGAACUCUGAUGAAUCUGGGAAUUAUUUCAUAACAUGGAGGAAUCUGGAAGGCAUUAUGCUGAGUGAAAUUAGUUGCAAAAGGACAAAUAUUGUAUAAGACCACAAUUAUAAGAACUCAAGAAAUAGUUUAAACAGAGAAGAAAAUAUUCUUUGAUGGUUAUGGGGGGGGAGGGAGGUUGGGAGAGGAGUAUUCACUAAUUAGAUAGUAGAUAAGAACUACUUCAGGUGAAGGGAAAGACAACACACAAUACAGGGGAGGUUAGCUCAACUGGACUAAACUAAAAGCAGACGUUUCUGGAAUAAACUGAAUGCUUUGAAGGCCAGUGUAGCAGGGACAGGGGUCUGGGGACCGUGGUUUCAGGGGACAUCUAAGUCAAUUGGCGUAAUAAAAUCUAUUAAGAAAACAUCCUGCAUCCCACCUUGGAGUGAAGCAUCCGGGGUCUUAAACGCUAGCAAGCAGCCAUCUAAGAUUCAUAAUUGGUCUCAACCCACCUGGAGCAAAGGAGAAUGAAGAACACCAAGGACACAAGGCGAUUAUGAGCCCAAGAGACAGAAAGGGCCAAGUGAACCAGAGAUUACAUCAUCCUGAGACCAGAAGAGCUAGAUGGUGCCCGGCUACAACCAAUGACUGCCCUGACAGGGAACACAACAGAGAACCCCUGAGGGAGCAGGAGAGCAGUGGGAUGCAGAUCCCAAAUUCUCGUAAAAAGACCAGACUUAAUGGCCUAAGACUAGAAGGACCCGAGUGGUCAUAGCUCCUAGACCUUCUGUUGGCCCAGGACAGGAAACAUUCCCAAGGCCAACUCUUCAGACAGGGAUUGGACUGGACAGUGGGUUGGAGAGGGAUGCUGGUGAGGAGUGAGCUUCUUGGAUCAGGUGGACAUUUGAGACUAUGUUGGCAUCUCCUCCCUGGAGGGCAUAUGAGAGGGUAGAGGGGGUUAGAAGCUGGCAAAAUGGACAUGAAAAGAGAGAGUGGAGGGAGGGAGUGGGCUGUCUCAUUAGGGGGAGAGCAUUUGGGGGUAUGUGGCAAGGUGUAUACAAGUUUUUGUGUGAGACACUGACCUGAUUUGUAAACUUUCACUUAAAGCACAAUAAAAAAAAAAAAAAAAGAAUAGAUUUGA
Long non-coding RNA from Loxodonta africana (African savanna elephant), 13486 nucleotides. RefSeq lists it as uncharacterized. The transcript is spliced from 2 exons. NCBI's taxonomy places the organism in Eukaryota, Metazoa, Chordata, Mammalia, Proboscidea, Elephantidae. The record is from RefSeq and is a predicted model, not a curated record.